This is a long non-coding RNA of Acyrthosiphon pisum (pea aphid), 254 nucleotides long. RefSeq lists it as uncharacterized. The record is from RefSeq and is a predicted model, not a curated record. The transcript is spliced from 3 exons. Lineage: Eukaryota; Metazoa; Arthropoda; Insecta; Hemiptera; Aphididae.
AGUUGUUUUAUUUUAUACCUACAUACACUUUUAUAAUAUAUAUUUAUUAGACCUAGUGUAUACUAAAAACUUAUGUUAUAUGAUAAUAGCUGAAAAAUACAAAAAUAAACAACUUGAUUAUACUCCACUGGUUUCGUUUGCUCUUCAUUAUGAUGCUAACAGUGAUAAAGUUUUCUAUAGAAGUGUGUCAGAGUUUUGUUAUACUAUCUCCAGAGUUUGAAGGUAAAUAUUACUUUAAUAAUAUAAACUACCUA